GAUGAACGCUGGCGGCGUGCCUAAUACAUGCAAGUCGAGCGAACGGACGAGAAGCUUGCUUCUCUGUUGUUAGCGGCGGACGGGUGAGUAACACGUGGCUAACCUACCUAUAAGACUGGGAUAACUUCGAGAAACCGGCGCUAAUACCGGAUGAUAUUUUGAACCGCAUGGUUCAAAAAUGAAAGACGGUCUUGCUGUCACUUAUCGAUGGAUCCGCGCUGCAUUAGCUAGUUGGUAAGGUAACGGCUUACCAAGGCAACGAUGCAUAGCCGACCUGAGAGGGGGAUCGGCCACACGGGAACUGGGAGAAGGUCCAGACUCCUACGGGAGGGUGCAGUAGGGAACUUUGCGCAAUGGGCUAAAGCCUGACGGAAGAACGCGGCGUGAGGCAUGAAGUUCUUCGGAUCGUAAAACUCUGUUAGUAGGGAAGAACAUAUGUGUAAGUAACUGUGCACAUCUUGACGGUACCUAAGCAGAAAGCCACGGCUAACUACGUG
RNAcentral lists this ribosomal RNA (497 nucleotides) under uncultured bacterium. RNAcentral's name for it is "partial 16S ribosomal RNA". It matches the Rfam family "Bacterial small subunit ribosomal RNA", at positions 28 to 507 of the family's 1533-position model. The record is from RNAcentral.